This 2755-nucleotide long non-coding RNA is filed under the name Brassica napus (rape). RNAcentral's name for it is "long non-coding RNA (BNAP_LNC023219)". Lineage: Eukaryota; Viridiplantae; Streptophyta; Magnoliopsida; Brassicales; Brassicaceae. The record is from RNAcentral.
AUCUUCCAAGCUACCACAUUUAGCGUACAUGUCAAUCAAACUAUUCGAAACCCAAACCGAGCUAGAAUACCCUGAUUUAACGGAGUAGCAAUGAAGAUGUUUCCCCGUUUCAAGAGCUCCCAGGUUGGCUGAAGCUGAGAUAAACCCUGGUAAGCUGAACUGAUCCGGUCUGAUUCCAUCACCAUGCAUAUGGUUGAUGACACUUAGUGCCAUUUCAUGCUUGGCCAACUCGUUAAACCUCGUAACCAAGCUCGUGUACGUAAUAGUAUCUCUCUUGUCCAUUGACUUAGCCACGUACCAGGCAUCAGCUACCUUAUCCGAGCUGGCGUAUGCAUCGACGAGUGAAUUCCCUACGAUGAUUUCACCAUCUACGUGUCGUCGUUGUAGAUAUCCAUGAAUCUCUAGUACUCUCCUUACUGAUUUCAGUUUGGUGCAGGCUCGGAGAACACCAGAUAGAGUGACAACAUUGGGCUCUAUUCCAAGUCUUACCAUCUCCAUCAACACUCCAAAGCAAUCUUGUUCAAACCCGUGAUCAACAAGACCUAAGAGUAACGUUGUCCAAGAGACGACGUUUGGUGAGAUCAUUGCUCUGAAAACUCUCAAAGCUUCUACUUCUGAUGCCGAGCAUUUCAUAUACAUAUCUAAAAGUGCAUUUCCGACGUCAGUGUUGUCCUCCAAUCCGACCUUAAUCGUCAGUGAAUGAAUCUGCUUCCCUAAAUCCAACGACUGGACAGAGGAGCAUAAGCUCAACAUUGCAGUGUACGUGAAAUUAUCCGGUUGCAAACCCGAACCUCGCAUCUGAAGAAACGUACCAACAGCUUCCUUGGCUCUCAAGUUUCUUGCAAACCCUGAUACCACAGACGUCCAAAGAAACACAUCCUGUUCUCCAAUCGAAUUCAACACCCUUACAGAAUCAUCCAUUUCAGCAAACCUCGAGUAGAACUCAACAAGAGAUGUCUUCAAUACCACGUUCAGCAGAACUCCAUGAACGAUUACGCUGCUGUGAAUCACUUUACCAAACUCCAAACCGAGAAAAGAAGAGGCACCUAAAAGCUUAACGAAGGUGAACUCGUUAGGAGGAACACCAGCUUCAAUCAUCUCAGAGUAACACUCCAACGCCUCUUUCCAUUUACGAGCUUCAACUAAAGAAGAUAUCAUCAUGGUCCACGAGAUGGUAUCAGCACCGUUCUUACAAGAACUAAACAGUUCACGAGCUUCCUCAAGUUUCCCACACUUUGAAUACAUAUCAGUCAAGCCGCUUCCUAUAACCGAAUUUCCCAAAAACCCAGUCUUUAUAACAGAACCAUGAACUUUAGCUCCGUAGUUAAGGUCUCUUAAACCAGCACAAGAUCUUAACACUGAUGAAAACGUGAACUCGUUCGGAACUGUUCCCGAAGCCAACAUUUCUUCGAACAAUGAAAGCGCGGACGCAAGCUCUUGGCCUUUGGUAUAAGAAGAGAUCAUAACAGUCCAGGCAAAAACGGUUCUCUGCGGCAUUUCAUCGAACAGUUUACGGGCGUUCAAUAUUCCAUCUGUUUUCAAGUAAAGACUCAGAAGAUUGUUGCAUAAGUUGAGAUUAUCUAGAAGACUCAGCUUGAUUACGGGGCAGUGGAUGUGUGAACCGAUGCGAGAUGUAGUCGAUUCGCAAAAGGAGAGAAUCCGAAUGCAUGAUUGCUGAAGAUGAUUACUCAGUACUUUGCUCGUCAUUUUCUCAUGGAGAAACUCUGAUGGUCACGUCAUCGCUGUUGAAGAAUUUGGUUGGAGCUUGGAGAAAGACAGAACCCAAGUACUCUCAUAUACGCAAUAUGGACAUUAGAACAUGUAUAAAUACCGUGCAAUGCUUGUCUGAAAUAAAAUAUAAAUCUAAGUGGUUGCUGUUAGGCCUGGGAAUUUAAAUCAAAGUCCGCGGGCCCCGCCCCAUUUGACCCGCCGCGGGGCGGGUGCGGGUCGAGCGUUUUGAAAAAAUCAAGUCGCGGUUCUGGCUCAUCAAACUUCGAGUCUUUUGGGCCAACUCUUGUUUCCCAGAUUCUUCGUAUAAGUCUGCCAAAAGAAUGUAGAAGGCUGGAUCAGAUGGUGCAAGUGCUAAGCCUUUGUUAGCCAUAUCUUCUCCUAAAGAUAAAUUCCCAUGGUAUCUACAAGCUCUCAACAAUGUUUUGAAGAUCAGAGCAUUUGGUCUCAACGGCAUCGUCUCUAAAACUCCUGUUGCUUCCUCUAGUCGUCCCGCACGGCCUAAGAUAUCAACUAGAUGAACAUUGUGCUCUAUCUGUGGCUUAAUGUUAUGAGUCUCUUCCAUUGAUCGAAAAUACUCGAGACCCAUCUCGGUCAAUCUUCCACUAUUACAAGCCGAGAGCAAUAUCAGGAAUGUUACUGAAUCAGGCUCGGUUCCUUUCAUCCUCAUCUCCUCAAAGGCAGAUAGAGCAGAGGAAAUACAUCCGUUUGAUGCCAAACCUGAUACCAAACCGUUCCAAGAAACAGCAUCAGGCGUAGCUAUCUCUUCAAAAACUUUCUUUGCAUCUUCCAAACUACCACAUUUAGCGUACAUGUCAAUCAAACUAUUUGAAACCGAAACCGAGCUAGAAUAGCCUGAUUUCACGGAGUAGCAAUGAAGAUGUUUCCCAGUUUCAAGAGCUCCCAGGUUGGCUGAAGCUGAGAUAAACCCUGGUAAGCUGAACUGAUCCGGUCUGAUUCCAUCACCAUGCAUAUGGUUGAUGACACUUAGUGCCAUUUCAUGCUUGGCCAACUCGUUAAACCUCGU